Molecule: ribosomal RNA, 446 nt
Filed under: uncultured bacterium
Lineage: Bacteria
Description: bacterial SSU rRNA
Rfam family: Bacterial small subunit ribosomal RNA
Source: RNAcentral
AUGAAUGCUGGCGGCGUGCCUUAGGCAUGCAAGUCGAGUGGGUUUAGACCCACGGCAGACGAGGUAGUAAUACACAGGUACGCACCGAAGAGUCCGGGAUAUUCCGUCGAAAGACGGCGCAAUACCGGAUGGUACGGAGACGUUAAAACUUUGCACCUUACGGUGCAAGGCGCUCUUUGAGCGGCCUGUGCCGCAUCAGCUAGUUGGUAAGGUAACGGCUUACCAAGGCUACGACGCGUAGGGGAGCUGAGAGGCUGACCCCCACCGAUGGAACUGAGACACGGUCCAUACAUCUACGGAUGGCUGCAGUCAAGAAUCUUCGACAAUGGACGAAAGUCUGAUCGAGCGACGCCGCGUGCUGGACGAAGUCCUUCGGGACGUAAACAGCUUUUAUGGGGGAAGAAGUAAUUGACAUUACCCCAUGAAUAAGGGGCUCCUAACUCUGU